RNAcentral lists this transfer RNA (69 nucleotides) under Camptonotus carolinensis (leaf-rolling cricket). Its description in RNAcentral is "tRNA-Gln". Lineage: Eukaryota; Metazoa; Arthropoda; Insecta; Orthoptera; Gryllacrididae. The record is from RNAcentral.
UAUUUUCUAGUGUAUGAUGCACAGAAGUUUUUGAUACUUCUAGAAACAGUUUAAUUCUGUUGAAUGUAA